AAGAAGAGAGAGAGUUAGUAAAAGGAAUGGUUCACACGAUUAUGAUGGAUUAAAAAGUCCCCAAAUCUGUAGUCUGCAAGCUAGAGACCCAGGAGAGGUGAUGAUGUAGUUCCAGUCUAAAAGAUAGCAGGCUCAAGACUCAAAAAGAGCAAAAGGUGCACCAGAGCGAAACAAGACUUGACCUUGCUGAUAUAGUUACUAGUAUCUCAGUGACAGUGAUGCCCAGUGGAAGCCAGGAACCCAUGCAGAAACGGACUUAAAGAAGGCAACUGCCUGAGACCCCAUUUCAAUGAAGGAAGAAAAUAAGGAAGUCAUGUUUUGAUAAAGCUAUCAGAAUUAAAAUAUAUGUACUAGGAUUCCAUAUCUGUUUUGGUUUAAAGAAAGAAUUUUUAGUUGGAUAAAUCUGACAAGAUUUGAAGAUAAAAACAAAAAAAAAAUCUGGAUCUCGUCUUUCUCUUAUAAAGUGCGGUUUCUUCACAUCACUCAGGAAUGUUUAUUCCAACUUAAGGCAGAACAGAAAAUUGAUUAAUGCUGACUGCUUUCCUAUGUCUCUGUACUGUAUUUACCUGAAAUAUAAACCACAAUUUCAAUAAAUGGGUUUGUC
RNAcentral lists this long non-coding RNA (604 nucleotides) under Pan troglodytes (chimpanzee). Its description in RNAcentral is "long non-coding RNA NONPTRT014790". The record is from RNAcentral. Lineage: Eukaryota; Metazoa; Chordata; Mammalia; Primates; Hominidae.